This 400-nucleotide ribosomal RNA is filed under the name uncultured bacterium. RNAcentral's name for it is "bacterial SSU rRNA". It matches the Rfam family "Bacterial small subunit ribosomal RNA", at positions 29 to 431 of the family's 1533-position model. The record is from RNAcentral.
AUUGAACGCUGGCGGCGUGCUUAACACAUGCAAGUCGUGCGGUAACAGGCGUAGCAAUACGUGCUGACGAGCGGCGAACGGGUGCGUAAUACAUGGGAAUCUGCCCUUUAGUGGGGAAUAACCCGGCGAAAGCCGGGCUAAUGCCGCAUAAGAUCUUCGGAUGAAAGCGGGGGAUCGUAAGACCUCGCGCUGAUGGAUGAGCCCAUGUCGGAUUAGCUAGNGGUGAGGUAACGGCUCACCAAGGCGACGAUCCGUAGCUGGUCUGAGAGGACGGCCAGCCACACUGGGACUGAGACACGGCCCAGACUCCUACGGAGGCAGCAGUGGGAAUAUUGGACAAUGGGCGAAAGCCUGAUCCAGCGACGCCGCGUGUGUGAAGAAGGCCUGCGGGUUGUAAAGC